This is a long non-coding RNA of Thamnophis elegans (Western terrestrial garter snake), 980 nucleotides long. RefSeq lists it as uncharacterized. Lineage: Eukaryota; Metazoa; Chordata; Lepidosauria; Squamata; Natricidae. The transcript has 2 exons. The record is from RefSeq and is a predicted model, not a curated record.
CCCAGACAUUUUCCAAAUGAGCAUUUGGACCUGACUUUGGUGGAGGCAGAGCGCCGAGCAAGAAGAAGUGAUAAAUGUACCCAUUCAUUGGAUGUUGCAGAUAGCAUUUGGGUCAUUGGAGACCAGCUGGCCAAGCGAAGCAGACUUUGGCUUUUAGAGUUGAAUAACCAGGCUAUAAAGGAUCUGUUGCAGAAGAAAAUCAAAUUUUCUUCAUUUUCUUAAAAACAGUAUUUGGUAACAAUGUGUAUUUUGGGAUAUAGUCCUAUAUUCAUAGAUGGAAAGAGCAUUUAGGGCCAUGUCCUAAUAUUGUCCUUCUCUAUCAGUCCAAUGGUAAAGUUGAAGUUUCACUCAAACUAACAGAGGAAGAAGAGGUAGGGAAAACAAUUUGACCCAAGAUUUAUGUUAUUAAGUAUUAAUUAGACUGCUACCCAGAAAAUGUUAACAUUGGCAAAUAAAAUGAAAAUUAAUUUUAAUUAAAAAAAGGAUAGGACUUUGACUGCAUUGCAGCCACCAUCUGAGAGGGGGGAGGGGGAGGGAGAAAGAGAAAUGUUCCGUACAUGCCAACAUGUGGUCACUUUAAAAAUAUUGAGAAUCAAAAGAAUGUUUGAAGCCUGUUCCCAAUCAAUGUUUAACCAAUUUUCAGCCGGAAUGGUCUAAUCUUACCAUAAACACCCCAGCAGAAGCAACGAUUUGUUCCUGUAUGGAAGGAAAGCCAACAUAAUAUUGAAGAACCUACAAAGGCAGAAAGCAGCAAUAUCUCUCUAAUAAUUUGAUUUGGAGAUUUCUUUCAAAGGGUUGAUUUAAUUAAAUCAUUUGAAUCAGAACAUUCCUUUGAUGUUUCAUAUGGCCCAUAUCAGAAGGUAUGGAAUAAAAAUCAGUUAUAUGUGCCAUUUUACUGUGAUGUAUUUUGAUGAUAUAUAAACAUUUGAAUUUAUAUUAUUGAUUGUGUAAAAAGGAAAAUAAAAUGAAAACUACAUUAA